RNAcentral lists this non-coding RNA (23 nucleotides) under Cricetulus griseus (Chinese hamster). Lineage: Eukaryota; Metazoa; Chordata; Mammalia; Rodentia; Cricetidae. The record is from RNAcentral.
GGAGAUGAAGAGGACAGAAACUG